Molecule: non-coding RNA, 376 nt
Organism: Hydra vulgaris (swiftwater hydra)
Lineage: Eukaryota; Metazoa; Cnidaria; Hydrozoa; Anthoathecata; Hydridae
Source: RefSeq, a predicted model, not a curated record
AUAUUUUUAGGUCAGUCGAUUAAAACAGGCUGGUGGCAACACCCCAUCAACAAUAAUAAAUGGCUUUAGACGAAACAAUGACAAGACAGGUACAAGCUAAAUUUAGCAAGGUUGGAAAUAAUGGAAAGCGACCGUUUAAGGAUACCUUAUUGUACAAGGCUUUACUUAGUGCUUUGGUGACAGAAAAAAUUCAAAAAGGAAAUGUUGAUCAACUAAUUGGCGAUCAUUUAAAGAGAGCCCCGAGGGCAGAAGUAAAAAAAUAAUUGAGAUUUGUUUAUAUUCUUCCAUACCUCUUUGAAAUAAUAUAUAAAAUUUAAAUUAUUAUUGUGUAUUUUUUAUAUAAAAACAUUUAUAAUGCUGUUAUUAAUAUAAUGAU